CCUACGGGGGGCUGCAGUGAGGAAUAUUGGUCAAUGGGCGCGAGCCUGAACCAGCCAAGUAGCGUGAAGGAUGACUUCCCUACGGGUUGUAAACUUCUUUUAUAAGGGAAUAAAGUGAGGCACGCGUGCCUUUUUGUAUGUACUUUAUGAAUAAGGAUCGGCUAACUCCGUGCCAGCAGCCGCGGUAAUACGGAGGAUCCGAGCGUUCUCCGGAUUUAUUGGGGUUAAAGGGAGCGUAGGCGGGUUGUGAAGUCAGUUGUUAAAGUUUGCAGCUCAAACGUUACAGUGCAAUUGAUACUGGCAGCCUUGAGUACAGUAGAGGUAUGCGGAAUGCGUGGUGUAGCGGUGAAAUGCUUAGAUAUCACGCAGAACUCCGAUUGCGAAGGCAGCUUACUAACCUGCCACUGACAUUGAUGCUCGAAAGUGUGGGUAUCAAACAGGAUUAGAUACCCUGGUAGUC
RNAcentral lists this ribosomal RNA (460 nucleotides) under uncultured bacterium. RNAcentral's name for it is "partial 16S ribosomal RNA". It matches the Rfam family "Bacterial small subunit ribosomal RNA", at positions 338 to 795 of the family's 1533-position model. The record is from RNAcentral.